Molecule: ribosomal RNA, 496 nt
Filed under: uncultured bacterium
Lineage: Bacteria
Description: partial 16S ribosomal RNA
Rfam family: Bacterial small subunit ribosomal RNA
Source: RNAcentral
AUGAACGCUGGCGGCGUGCCUAAUACCUGCCAGUUGCGCGAACAGACGAGGAGCUUGCUCCUCUGACGUUAGCGGCGGACGGGUGAGUAACACGUGGAUAACCUACCUAUAAGACUGGGAUAACUUCGGGAAACCGGAGCUAAUACCGGAUAAUAUAUUGAACCGCAUGGUUCAAUAGUGAAAGACGGUUUUGCUGUCACUUAUAGAUGGAUCCGCGCCGCAUUAGCUAGUUGGUAAGGUAACGGCUUACCAAGGCAACGAUGCGUAGCCGACCUGAGAGGGUGAUCGGCCACACUGGAACUGAGACACGGUCCAGACUCCUACGGGAGGCAGCAGUAGGGAAUCUUCCGCAAUGGGCGAAAGCCUGACGGAGCAACGCCGCGUGAGUGAUGAAGGUCUUCGGAUCGUAAAACUCUGUUAUUAGGGAAGAACAAAUGUGUAAGUAACUAUGCACGUCUUGACGGUACCUAAUCAGAAAGCCACGGCUAACUACGUG